Amphiprion ocellaris (clown anemonefish) is the source of this 1431-nucleotide long non-coding RNA. Lineage: Eukaryota; Metazoa; Chordata; Actinopteri; Pomacentridae. The record is from Ensembl.
AUUAUGGUCGGACGUGCCGAGUGGAGCUCUGCUGAAGGACUUAUAUGCUCCUUUCAUGGAUCCAAAACAAAGGUCCAGACACUUUGCAUGUGGAGUGGGACACGUCACAUAUUGAUAAAAAAUAGCCAAGAACUUUGACGGUUUGCAGUGAUUGAAAUCACCCAGAAUAAAGCACGGUGCGUCCGGCACUAACCCCUGCAGCCGCUGCACUGUCUUUAGCAUAGCCUGAGUUGCUACAUCAGCAUUAGCCUUCGGGUGAACAUAAACAACAGUAAUAAAUAACUGUGGAAAUUCCCUGGGAAGAUAAAACGGUCGCAGGGAUACGGACAAUAGUUCAGCGUCUUUGGUGCACAGUGUCUUAUCGUAUUACAGCAGUUUUUAUUGACGUAGAGACACACACCUCCGCCCAGUGACUUGCGGGUCACUGCGGGGUCUCUAUCAAGGCGGAAGGGAACUCCAAGUCCAUCAAUCUCCAGUGCUGACUGUGGAUCUUGCUCCUUAAGCCAGGUCUCCAUGAGGGCCAGGAUACAUGCGUCCCUGUACUCUGCCAGAUACUUGACGUUACCCUGAAGCUCAUCCACCUUAUUCCUGAACAUUAGCCAGGAUGACAGUGGGUAGAGGUAUCCGACGGUGGCCCUGCCGCUCUGUCGCAGUCCGCCGCGUUUCCCCCUUUUCCUCGCACGCCUCGGCCCGUCCGACCUGCUCCGGUUUUCCGUGAAGGGAUUCAGCCGACCGAUCUCCGUGGGGACAGCUGUCGAGGGAUCCACGGUGCCCAACCCGGAGUCACGGAACAAAAGUAGGAAGUGGCGGCUAUACUGGAUUUCAUCUGUCAGAAAUGAUCCAACGGCUGAGUGGCCUUGGAGGAGGACUGAGCGGCCUUGUAGGAGGACUGAGCAGCCUUGUUGGAGGACUGAGCGGCCUUGAAGGAGGACUGAGCGGCCUUGGAGGAGGAUUGAGCACCUUGGAGCAGGACUGAGCGGCCUUGAAGGAGGACUGAGCGGCCUUGGAGGUGGACUGGGCAGCCUUGGAGCAGGACUGAGCGGCCUUGAAGGAGGACUGAGCGGCCUUGGAGGUGGACUGAGCGGCCUUGGAGGUGGACUGGGCGGCCUUGGAGCAGGACUGAGCGGCCUUGAAGGAGGACUGAGCGGCCUUGGAGGUGGACUGGGCGGCCUUGGAGCAGGACUGAGUGGCCUUGGAGGAGGACUGAGCGACCUUGGAGCAGGACUGAGCGGCCUUGAAGGAGGACUGAGCGGCCUCGGAGCAGGACUGAGCGCCUUGGAGCAGGACUGCUCUCUGAGUGUUUUUCUUGUCGUCUCUGCAGAAUGAACCAGGGCCAGGAAACGCUAUUAAAAAUGCCACUUGUUGAUUGAAUUUCAUAUUUAGCACUCCGCUCACUGUCUGCCUGUUUAUGAAAGUAAUUAUGGUCCUGGG